Parus major (Great Tit) is the source of this 490-nucleotide long non-coding RNA. RefSeq lists it as uncharacterized. The record is from RefSeq and is a predicted model, not a curated record. The transcript is spliced from 3 exons. Lineage: Eukaryota; Metazoa; Chordata; Aves; Passeriformes; Paridae.
AGACUCCUCACUGGGAGUGCCUGAAUGUGCAUCUGUGCUUCUCAACACAGCAGAGCAAAAAGCAAGACUCUGCAAGAACCAAACUCACAAUCUCACGAGCUUUUCUGCAUCAGGCUAGCUCUAAACCUGAGAAAAUCCCUUUCUUUUGCAGGUGUCCUGCCAGGGGGGCUUAAGUAGGACUGGACUGCUGAAAAGGUGGGAAGAAGAGGUGUGGCAUUUUCUGUGUGAGCACAAUUGGAGCCACCUGGCCAGGGGAUGCAGCAGAUAAGCAACCUUUCUUUCAAUGGCACAGUCACUGGGUCCUUUCUGUCUCCUCAACACUUGCCUGUUCAAAAUCGUCCUCUGUCUUACCCAAGACCUUACAGGAAAUGCAAGAAUAAGGCCAUCCAUACCAAACCCAUCAAACAGUGGAGCUGGCAGCUGCUGGAGGUGAAGAAAAAGUUUCUCAGGACCGGGGGGAAGCAGAGCCAUGAGGUUGCAAAAGUGGGGG